This 114-nucleotide ribosomal RNA is filed under the name uncultured eukaryote. RNAcentral's name for it is "partial small subunit ribosomal RNA". The record is from RNAcentral.
GUCGCUACUACCGAUUGAACGUUUUAGUGAGUUCCGAGGAUCAGUCGCUUCCAGUCCCUGUGUCUGGUUUGUCGAUCGAGAGCAGGUGCAAACUUGAGCGUUUAGAGGAAGUAA